Salmo salar (Atlantic salmon) is the source of this 54-nucleotide non-coding RNA. NCBI's taxonomy places the organism in Eukaryota, Metazoa, Chordata, Actinopteri, Salmoniformes, Salmonidae. The record is from Rfam.
AAUGCACCAAUUUGUAAGUCGCUUUGGAUAAGAGCAUCUGCUAAAUUACGUAAA